UUCCGUGGCUUCCUCGAGACGAAGGGCUGCAGAGUGCGGCCUGCAGACCUGCCUGUUUUGUAAACAAAGUUUUACUGGAACAACCGUGACCAUUUGUUCAGUGUCCGUAGCAUUCAACAGAUUUGAGUAUUUGCAACAGAUACUCUAUGUCCUAAAAAACCUAAAAUAUUUACUGUCUGGCCCUUUACAGGAAAAAGUUUACCCACUCCUACUCUAGGUCCAUAAUGCCAACUUGAGAUGAAAUUUCAGAUGUCCAGUUGUCUUUCUGGGUACAGAUCAGUGAUCCUUCUCUGACUAGGUACACUAGAACUUACCUCUUUUUAGAAAGAUGUUGUUAUAAGUGUUAUCGCAUCCGGCUCCUUUAUGGGCCCCAAUUCCCAUGGCAGUGGGUCUAGGAAACUACGUACAACAUGUAUCACCUGGGCUGACCUUAGUCUUAUUUCUGACAGUUCUGAGAUAAAUAGAUGGUAUAUAUACGUCAUCAGUCGAUGAUAGAUGACAUCAGCAGAUGAUAGAAAAUUUAUAUCUAAGAGCUGUUUCAUUAUCAGCAAUUUUAAGCAAAUCUCAGUCUUACUCCAGACACCUCCUAACGUGUUCUGCUAUAAUAAGACCUCAUUUUAUUCCAAUAUUUUGACAUUCUACCGUCUAGAGCUUUCAUGCUUCAGGCAGGGUGGAAGAUGAAAAAUCGUUACACCCUAAGCCCGUGGUAGGUGUUAACUGUUGCUGACGUGAGUUCACAGGGUACAGAUGUUUCUGGACAGAAACCCUGGGUGGGGGAAGUCUCAGCAACUGAUGACUCGGGCUUCGUGUAAUCCCAUAUGGAUGAGCCAGGAAGUGGAACGGUUAUCAAAAGGGGAGGAUGGAUAAGCCUGCAGCAUAAUCAAAUGGAAAAGCUCAACUGAGGAGGAAACUGGCAAACCAUACUAAGAGGCAACCUGUCCGGAAAAGCCAGUAUCCACUCUCUACCGGAGGGGGUGGAGGAAGCUGGGGGGCAGGGAGUAAGGGUUCCCCCAUAACACGCACUUGUCGGUGAUGAGAGCCACGGUCCCAGCCUUCAGAUCCGGUUCCGCCCUCAGCGCCUUCUCGCCUCCCCGCAGCCCUGUAGCCCCUCCCCCGCUUCACUGGGGCAGUUACUGCUGGGCCACGUCCACAGCCAGAGAGAUGUCUCAUCACUCGGUCAGGCUUGCAGCGCCCCUCAGCCCUGACCCCUGCAACAGCUUCCUACCAGGACGUGUUGGAGCGGCCUUGGAGUCCGAGAAGCAGGCGAGGGAGGAGGGAGGGGGACUUCAAAGGGCCCUCCUUCGCUGGGUCUGGCCCGGAGCUGCACAAUUGGCCCCUGGGGAAGAAGGGAAGGGGUGCUGUGCCCCAUCCUUCUGAUUCAUGGCCUCUCAGGCGCCCUGUUCUCAUUUCCUGCCCACAUUUAGGCUCUUCUAGCUCUGAACCCCAGUGAGAGGGUUGUGAUCGCAUUGCCUUCUCCUCUCCGGGGACCCUGUGUAAAUUUGUAGCUGCCAAUGGUGGGGACCCUCUCCCCUUAUCUGCUUCCAAUCCUCAGGGCCUGGUGAAGGAACAGUAUCCUUGCAAUGCUCUCCAGGACCCCUGGACCCACUUUGUCCAGCAACAAAGAGAGUCCAUCCCCAAGGUGAAUUAUGGAGUCUCCAACCACUUAUAGAAACAGAACCAGCUCACAACGUCAAGGACACAGCGGCAGAUUAAAAGAGCAAAAAGACAAAGGAAAACAUUCAAGUUCCAUUGCUACUGGACCCUGCCCACUCAAGUUUUUGGGCCAAACUAAGUUCCCCCAAGAUUCCAGCCAUUCAUGCCUCAGCCUGCUGGACUAGGAAUAUGCAUGGGAUUGCUUUCUGAGGGGUGAGGGGCUCUGGCUUUUCACAGAGUAACAGUGAUGCCUGGUGAGUUUCAGGGCUGCAGCCCAGCCUCUGAGCUCCCAGACCUUCAGGCCAUGAUCAAACCCAAAUCCACCCAGAAAGAGCCCCACGGACACACACGUCAGCCUCUGCCAAGGGUGAGGGCGCUGGAACACCUGCUGGAGGCUGCUGGGAGUUGCUGGCCUCCCUGUAGGGGCUUGAAUGUUGUCCCCCCGAAAUUCAUGUCCACCUGGAAGCUCCGAAUGUGACCUUAUUUGAAAAUAGGGUCUUUGCAGAUAUAAUUAGUCAAGACCUUGAGAUGAAAUCAUCAAACAAUGACGGUGUCUUUCUAGGAAGAGGAGAGGACACACAGAGGGAAGAGGGCCAUGUGAAGACAGGGGAUCGGAGUGACGUAGCUGCCAACCAUGGACGCUGAGGCUCUCUGGAAGCACAGAAGCUGGGAAGCAGAAGGGAGGAUUCUUCCCUGGAACCUGAAGAAAAAGCAUGGCCUUACCAACACUGAUUUCAGACAUCUGGCUUCCAGAACCUCAAGAGAACAAAUUUCUGUUGUUUCAAGCCACCAAGUUUGUGGUCAUUUGUUACGACAGUCCUGGCAAACUAAGACACCUGCACUGAGCAAAAAGGAGGACACGGAAUUCCUCAGGGACUUCAAGUUGUAGGGCUGACGUCCCCCUUCUUCACCCAGAACAGUAAGAAUUCUGACUCCAUUCCCCCAUUCUUUUGUGGCUGGGCUGGAGGAGGCCUUCAGCCUGCAUUUGUUUUACUGAAUCUGCUUUGUCAGGGAAGAACCCACUUUUCCAAAAAGAAAGGAACGGUUUUCAGUUGCACUUCUGGACCUAGAAAUUUCAUUGUCAACCAGACUGACAUAACCAGGCUCCCUGCUUUCUGUUCCCGACUGCCUCUUUUCAGCAGCGCUCCUGAUGCUUUGCUGGCAUUUCUUUCCACUGCCCUCUGCUGAUCAGGCAGAACCAGGGACAACAGCAAUUCCAGAACCCACAGCCCAGGGAAGUCCCACUUGGUAGUCAAAGCCAUCCAGACCCAUGAUUCUGGCUUGGGGAAGAUUCCAGAGUUGGGGAUUCUCUGUGGUUUUAACUUUCCAGGCUUCUGGAACCAAGAAUACCUUUAGUCAGUUUAUCCCAAUAUGUGUUCCUCAGAACUGUAAUGUCCUGCAAAAUAUUAGUAAAUAUUUUUUAAACAUCAUAGUCAAAUAAGUUUGCGAACUGCCAAAAUAAAUAUAGUUAAACAAA
Molecule: long non-coding RNA, 3130 nt
Organism: Balaenoptera musculus (blue whale)
Lineage: Eukaryota; Metazoa; Chordata; Mammalia; Artiodactyla; Balaenopteridae
Exons: 2
Source: RefSeq, a predicted model, not a curated record